GACUGAUCAUACUGUAAGUCGCUCUGGAUAAGAGCGUCUGCUAAAUGACGUAAA
Non-coding RNA from Salmo salar (Atlantic salmon), 54 nucleotides. The record is from Rfam. Lineage: Eukaryota; Metazoa; Chordata; Actinopteri; Salmoniformes; Salmonidae.